GAUUAAGUUAUUAAGGGCGCACGGUGGAUGCCUUGGCACUAGAAGCCGAAGAAGGACGUUACUAACGACGAUAUGCUUUGGGGAGCUGUAAGUACGCUUUGAUCCAGAGAUUUCCGAAUGGGGAAACCCAGCAUGAGUUAUGUCAUGUUAUCCGCAUAUGAAU
Molecule: ribosomal RNA, 163 nt
Filed under: Staphylococcus epidermidis
Lineage: Bacteria; Bacillati; Bacillota; Bacilli; Caryophanales; Staphylococcaceae
Description: partial 23S ribosomal RNA
Rfam family: Bacterial large subunit ribosomal RNA
Source: RNAcentral